This 469-nucleotide ribosomal RNA is filed under the name uncultured bacterium. Its description in RNAcentral is "bacterial SSU rRNA". It matches the Rfam family "Bacterial small subunit ribosomal RNA", at positions 157 to 638 of the family's 1533-position model. The record is from RNAcentral.
GGAUGGCUAAUACCGGAUAUGACCACUUUGGGCAUCCAACGGUGGUGGAAAGGAUUCUGGUCUGGGAUGGGCCCGCGGCCUAUCAGCUAGUUGGUGGGGUAAUGGCCUACCAAGGCGACGACGGGUAGCCGGCCUGAGAGGGCGACCGGCCACACUGGGACUGAGACACGGCCCAGACUCCUACGGGAGGCAGCAGUGGGGAAUAUUGCGCAAUGGGGCGAAAGCCUGACGCAGCGACGCCGCGUGAGGGACGAAGGUCUUCGGAUUGUAAACCUCUUUCAGCAGGGACGAAGCGAAAGUGACUGUACCUGCAGAAGAAGCACCGGCUAACUACGUGCCAGCAGCCGCGGUAAUACGUAGGGUGCAAGCGUUGUCCGGAUUUAUUGGGCGUAAAGAGCUCGUAGGCGGUUUGUCGCGUCGGAUGUGAAAACCCAAUGGCUUAACCUUGGGCCUGCAUUCGAUACAGGCA